UACUUUAUUAAUUCUUGUAUCAGUUGAUUAUUUGUACAGUACAACUAAUAAUAAUUAUUUUAAAAAUUAUAUCAUUACCAAAAUUACUGGUAUAAGAUUUCUUACAAUGUAACAACUAGCAAGAGAUAACCAAUCUCAAAAGAGAUUAUAAAAUUAAAAAAAAAAGGAUAAGGAAGUAAUUUCGGAUAAAAUUAAAGCGUAUAAAUUUUUUUUUGUUAAUAGAAUUUGCAUCAUUAUCAAAUUAUACAAGGGUGUUAUUGGUUCCUAGAAAAAUAAGAGGAUGAAAAGGUUCUCUCAAUGUGGGAAGUGGAAAAUCUAGUCACCUAAUGAUAGAGUAGUACACGUGCCCAGGGAAGAGUGGUGGACCAGUCUUAAUUGGACUGUCGUAUCAUCUCAUAUACAUAUGUGAUUAAAGAAUGGUCCCAGUUUGCUUUCUGCUCUGUGAUUCAUGCAUCCACAAGAUUUUGUUACCGCAGUACAAGCGAACCGUGCGAUUUGUGCUGAUUUUGAUGAACGUUAUCACGCCUUUUUUCUUUGCCCACCUAAAAGAUGAGAAAAUAACAGGAAAAAGGCAUAAAAAAAGUUUUAAUUUUAUCAAAGGGGAAAAUCUUUAAAACGUUUUUGAGAUAGAAAAUUGUAGAGCGCCUCUCAAAUAUCCUCUGAAAAUCCACUUUUCAGAUAUAUUUCAUUUAAUUUCAAAAAUAUCCUUUUAAUUAACAUUCCUAAUAUCAUUUCAAAUCUUUUUAAGUGGGGUUUUCACCCUUAAAAUUCAUGCUCUCCUAUUUAUUUCUUUUGCAGCAUUCAACAAAAAGUUCUUUUAUUUAUAUCUUGAUAAUUAUGGUUUGAAAAUAGUUUCCAGUAUAGAAAUAGGGAUCUAGCUACGUCCAGAGAAAUAGUUAAUCUACAAUCAAAAGAAAAUAAAUUUGAGAAAAAAAUUAUUUUAGAUUUAGGCAAAUAAAUUAGAUACUUGAGAGGUCAUGUCUCAACCCACAAAAAAAAAAGGGGGAAAAAAAAAGCGAGAGAAAGAUGGACGAUGAAUCAGUUGGCAAAAAGUUUUGUAUAACAAGUUUCUCUGGCUUUAAAGAGUUAGAAAAAUAAAAUAAAAUAUUCAUUUGUUUAAUUGAAUUUAGGUUUGUCUUUAAAUGUAAUUUCAAUAAACGAGGGGUUUUAUUAUAAUAUCGAAUGGGUGCUAAUAGCUCCACUCAAUUG
This 1209-nucleotide long non-coding RNA is filed under the name Citrus x clementina. RNAcentral's name for it is "Citrus clementina (C. clementina) long non-coding RNA (CCLE_LNC005460)". Lineage: Eukaryota; Viridiplantae; Streptophyta; Magnoliopsida; Sapindales; Rutaceae. The record is from RNAcentral.